GGUCAAGCUACAAAGGGCACAUGGCGAAUGCCUUGGCAUCAAGAGCCGACGAAGGACGCGAUAAGCUGCGAUAAGCUUCGGGUAGCCGCAAAUAGGCUGUGAACCGAAGAUUUCCGAAUGAGGAAACUCACAUGGGUAAACCCCAUGUAUUGUAUACUGAAUAAAUAGGUAUAUAAGGGUACACCCAGGGAACUGAAACAUCUAAGUACCUGGAGGAAGAGAAAGAAAUUCGAUUUCCUAAGUAGCGGCGAGCGAAAGGGAAAGAGCCCAAACCAGAAAUUUAUUUCUGGGGUUGUGGACAGAUCAUUAAUAUGGCGGUAUUUUAGUCGAAUACAACUGGAAAGUUGAGCCACAGCGUGUAAUAGCCACGUAGACGAAAGAAGAAGGCCUAAGAUCUGAUCCAGAGUACCACGAGACACGUGAAACCUUGUGGGAAGCAGGGAGGACCACCUCCCAAGGCUAAAUACUACUUGAUGACCGAUAGUGAAGAAGUACCGUGAG
This 501-nucleotide ribosomal RNA is filed under the name Clostridium algidicarnis. RNAcentral's name for it is "partial 23S ribosomal RNA". It matches the Rfam family "Bacterial large subunit ribosomal RNA", at positions 1 to 507 of the family's 2925-position model. The record is from RNAcentral. Lineage: Bacteria; Bacillati; Bacillota; Clostridia; Eubacteriales; Clostridiaceae.